GUGGUGGAGAUGCAUAAUUGUAAACUGGUGGUGGAGGUGACUUCACAGGUGGGGGAGGAGAGUGGUAGUAGUAUGGAGGUGGUGGGGAUGGUGAUGGAGGUGGUGGGGAUUUGUAGUAGUACGGUGGUGGAGGCGAGUAGACUGGUGGGGGAGGAGAGUGGUAAUAGUACGGAGGUUGAGGAGAUGGUGACGGAGGUGGUGGGGACUUGUAAUAGUAUGGUGGUGGAGGUGAGUGGACAGGUGGGGGAGGAGAGUGGUAAUAAUAUGGCGGUGGAGGAGAUGGCGACGGAGGUGGUGGGGAUUUGUAGUAGUAGGGCGGGGGAGGAGAGUGGACUGGUGGUGGUGGGGAUUUGUAGUAGUAUGGAGGUGGAGGUGGAGGUGAGUAGACUGGUGGUGGUGGGGAUUUGUAGUAGUAUGGAGGUGGAGGUGAGUGGACUGGUGGUGGCGGGGAUUUGUAGUAGUAGGGUGGAGGAGGAGAGUGGACUGGAGGUGGCGGGGAUUUGUAGUAGUAUGGUGGUGGAGGCGAGUAGACUGGAGGGGGUGGUGACUUGUAGUAGUAAGGUGGCGGAGGUGAGUAAACGGGAGGAGGGGGUGACUUGUAGUAGUAAGGUGGUGGAGGUGAGUAGACUGGUGGUGGAGGUGAUUUGUAAUAGUAUGGGGCAGGUAUGUGGACUGGCGGUGGUGGUGACUUGUAAUAGUAGGGAGGUGGAGGGGAUGGUGAAGGUGGUGGUGGAGACUUGUAGUAGUAUGGCGGUGGGGGUGAAUAGACUGGUGGUGGAGGUGAUUUAUAAUAGUAUGGAGGUGGAGGAGAUGGCGAUGGAGGUGGCGGAGAUUUAUAGUAGUAAGGUGGUGGAGGAGAGUGGACUGGUGGUGGAGGUGAUUUGUAAUAGUAUGGCGGUGGAGGAGAGUAGACUGGUGGUGGAGGUGAUUUAUAGUAGUAUGGCGGUGGUGGUGAGUGGACAGGUGGUGGAGGUGACUUGUAGUAAUACGGUGGAGGAGAAGAAUAGACCGGUGGUGGUGGAGAUUUAUAAUAGUAAGGUGGUGUCGGAUACUUUAUUGGAGGUGGAGGGGAUUUGUAAUAAUAGGGUGGUGGUGGUGAGGGUGAAGGAGGUGGUGGAGAUUUAUAGUAAUAUGGUGGUGGAGGUGAGUGGACUGGAGGUGGUGGAGAUUUGUAGUAGUAUGGUGGAGGUGAGUAGACAGGUGGGGGAGGAGACUUGUAAUAAUAUGGUGGUGGAGGUGAGUAGACCG
RNAcentral lists this long non-coding RNA (1248 nucleotides) under Citrus sinensis (sweet orange). RNAcentral's name for it is "long non-coding RNA (CSIN_LNC002287)". The record is from RNAcentral. Lineage: Eukaryota; Viridiplantae; Streptophyta; Magnoliopsida; Sapindales; Rutaceae.